Molecule: ribosomal RNA, 443 nt
Filed under: uncultured bacterium
Lineage: Bacteria
Description: partial 16S ribosomal RNA
Rfam family: Bacterial small subunit ribosomal RNA
Source: RNAcentral
CCUACGGGAGGCAGCAGUGGGGAAUAUUGGGCAAUGGGCGCAAGCCUGACCCAGCAACGCCGCGUGAAGGAAGAAGGCUUUCUGGUUGUAAACUUCUUUUCUCAGGGACGAAGCAAGUGACGGUACCUGAUGAAUAAGCCACGGCUAACUACGUGCCAGCAGCCGCGGUAAUACGUAGGUGGCAAGCGUUAUCCGGAUUUACUGGGUGUAAAGGGCGUGUAGGCGGGGACGCAAGUCAGAUGUGAAAACCACGGGCUCAACCUGUGGCCUGCAUUUGAAACUGUGUGGCUUGAGUACUGGAGAGGCAGACGGAAUUCCUAGUGUAGCGGUGAAAUGCGUAGAUAUUAGGAGGAACACCAGUGGCGAAGGCGGUCUGCUGGACAGCAACUGACGCUGAGGCGCGAAAGCGUGGGGAGCAAACAGGAUUAGAUACCCGGGUAGUC